Molecule: long non-coding RNA, 594 nt
Organism: Salvia hispanica
Lineage: Eukaryota; Viridiplantae; Streptophyta; Magnoliopsida; Lamiales; Lamiaceae
Source: RefSeq, a predicted model, not a curated record
AUUUUCUCUACAAACCCAAAACCCUAUCCCUCUCUCAAAUUUCAACAUCUCCUCGUUGGGAAAAAAUAGUGGCAGUCUCGGAUUACUCAGCAAAGGCGAGGCGAGGAGUGUAUGCUAGCAUGUUCCGUUACGAUUCGAGGUCCUUAUCAUUGCCGAGAAGUGGGUUUUGGCCUCCGUUUGGGCUUAAAUGGAGAACUUGGAAGAAUCAUUUAAAAAUAAGGUAUUGGGCUGACGUACCUAUCGAGCAUUUAAUACAUGACAGAGAUCGAUAGAGUUUUUGAAGAUCAAUGGAUCAACUUUCUUGCUUAUUGGAGAACAGAAAAUGCAAAGGGCACGUUGAAGAGGGACUUAUUCUUUUGAUAAAUAGAGAAGAGGCUCACGUAUAUAAAGAGAGAAGCAUUUUACCUACAAAUAUGUUAUGCUCUUUAUAUUAGAUUAGACUUUAAAAUUUGUACUAGUACUCACUUAGUUUAAGAAGAAAAUGAAUUGACAUUUCAUGUUGUUUGGAAUGCAUGGUUAGAGUUAGAGUUUCGUGUAAUACCAUUGAAUAUUUUGGAUUUUUAUACAUUCAAAUUUUGUGGAGUAUUACACAAA